GACGAACGCUGGCGGCGUGCUUAACACAUGCAAGUCGAACGGAAAGGCCCUGCUUUUGUGGGGUGCUCGAGUGGCGAACGGGUGAGUAACACGUGAGUAACCUGCCCUUGACUUUGGGAUAACUUCAGGAAACUGGGGCUAAUACCGGAUAGGAGCUCCUGCUGCAUGGUGGGGGUUGGAAAGUUUCGGCGGUUGGGGAUGGACUCGCGGCUUAUCAGCUUGUUGGUGGGGUAGUGGCUUACCAAGGCUUUGACGGGUAGCCGGCCUGAGAGGGUGACCGGCCACAUUGGGACUGAGAUACGGCUCAGACUCCUACGGGAGGCAGCAGUGGGGAAUAUUGCACAAUGGGCGGAAGCCUGAUGCAGCAACGCCGCGUGCGGGAUGACGGCCUUCGGGUUGUAAACCGCUUUCGCCUGUGACGAAGCGUGAGUGACGGUAAUGGGUAAAGAAGCACCGGCUAACUACGUGCCAGCAGCCGCGGUGAUACGUAGGGUGCGAGCGUUGUCCGGAUUUAUUGGGCGUAAAGGGCUCGUAGGUGGUUGAUCGCGUCGGAAGUGUAAUCUUGGGGCUUAACCCUGAGCGUGCUUUCGAUACGGGUUGACUUGAGGAAGGUAGGGGAGAAUGGAAUUCCUGGUGGAGCGGUGGAAUGCGCAGAUAUCAGGAGGAACACCAGUGGCGAAGGCGGUUCUCUGGGCCUUUCCUGACGCUGAGGAGCGAAAGCGUGGGGAGCGAACAGGCUUAGAUACCCUGGUAGUCCACGCUGUAAACGGUGGGUACUAGGUGUGGGGUCCAUUCCACGGGUUCCGUGCCGUAGCUAACGCUUUAAGUACCCCGCCUGGGGAGUACGGCCGCAAGGCUAAAACUCAAAGGAAUUGACGGGGCCCCGCACAAGCGGCGGAGCAUGCGGAUUAAUUCGAUGCAACGCGUAGAACCUUACCUGGGUUUGACAUGGAUCGGGAGCGCUCAGAGAUGGGUGUGCCUCUUUUGGGGUCGGUUCACAGGUGGUGCAUGGCUGUCGUCAGCUCGUGUCGUGAGAUGUUGGGUUAAGUCCCGCAACGAGCGCAACCCUUGUUCACUGUUGCCAGCACGUUAUGGUGGGGACUCAGUGGAGACCGCCGGGGUCAACUCGGAGGAAGGUGGGGAUGACGUCAAGUCAUCAUGCCCCUUAUGUCCAGGGCUUCACGCAUGCUACAAUGGCUGGUACAGAGAGUGGCGAGCCUGUGAGGGUGAGCGAAUCUCGGAAAGCCGGUCUCAGUUCGGAUUGGGGUCUGCAACUCGACCUCAUGAAGUCGGAGUCGCUAGUAAUCGCAGAUCAGCAACGCUGCGGUGAAUACGUUCCCGGG
RNAcentral lists this ribosomal RNA (1343 nucleotides) under uncultured bacterium. RNAcentral describes it as "16S ribosomal RNA". It matches the Rfam family "Bacterial small subunit ribosomal RNA", at positions 28 to 1378 of the family's 1533-position model. The record is from RNAcentral.